UACGGAGGGUGCAAGCGUUGUCCGGAUUUAUUGGGUUUAGAGGGAGCGUAGGCGGUCUUUUAAGUCAGUGGUGAAAUCCUCCAGCUUAACUGGAGAACUGCCAUUGAUACUGAAAGACUUGAGUACAGACGAGGUAGGCGGAAUUGACAGUGUAGCGGUGAAAUGCAUAGAUAUUGUCAAACUCCGAUUGCGAAGGCAGCUUACUAGACUGUAACUGACGCUGAGGCUCGAAAGUGUGGGGAUCAAACAGG
Molecule: ribosomal RNA, 251 nt
Filed under: uncultured bacterium
Lineage: Bacteria
Description: partial 16S ribosomal RNA
Rfam family: Bacterial small subunit ribosomal RNA
Source: RNAcentral